Long non-coding RNA from Epinephelus lanceolatus (giant grouper), 518 nucleotides. RefSeq lists it as uncharacterized. The record is from RefSeq and is a predicted model, not a curated record. NCBI's taxonomy places the organism in Eukaryota, Metazoa, Chordata, Actinopteri, Perciformes, Serranidae.
CAAAGCAAGAGUGAAGUUGUUUUGCAAAGGUCUCCAACCUCAGAUGCAGUGAAGUUUCAUAUCAUGCGUUCACACUAUCAAGCGGCAGUCUGGAACCAAGCUCACCUGCCACAUCCUGAUCUUCCUCCAGUGGAUGAAAUGGGAUGGAUGCACAAGGAAGGUCAGUUAGUGCCACGGCUACUGUCUCUGCCACCUAUGCCUAAAGCCUGCAGAGAGUUCACUUCAUGUGGGUGUACCAAGGGAUGCCUCAGCCAAUGCUGCAGCUGCAGAAAGAGUCAAAUGGAAUGUAUAGAAGCAUUCAACUGCAGGAAACUUGACAACACUUGCCAGAACACUGAAGAAGACUGUGAAUAAGCUGUCACUGAAAAGUGACAUGGAACCUCCUGGAAUACUGAGGAUGACAGCAAAGAAGUUCAUGUAACUCCAGUGUCAAUACUGUAUAAUGACUGUAUAUGCAUGAUAUUCUAACAGUAAAUAUGCAAAACAAAAGAGUUAAAUGAAUAAAACCAUCACCUGUA